UGGGGAAUAUUGGACAAUGGGGGCAACCCUGAUCCAGCAAUGCCGCGUGAGUGAGGAAGGCCUUAGAGUUGUAAAGCUCUUUCGGCGGGGACGAUGAUGACGGUACCCGCAGAAGAAGCCCCGGCUAACUUCGUGCCAGCAGCCGCGGUAAUACGAAGGGGGCGAGCGUUGUUCGGAUUUACUGGGCGUAAAGGGCGCGCAGGCGGCCGGCCAAGUCAGGCGUGAAAGCCCCGGGCUUAACCUGGGAAUUGCGUCUGGGACUGGUUGGCUAGAGAUCGGGAGAGGAGAGUGGAAUUCCCAGUGUAGAGGUGAAAUUCGUAGAUAUUGGGAAGAACACCGGUGGCGAAGGCGGCUCUCUGGACCGAUACUGACGCUGAGGCGCGAAAGCGUGGGGAGCAAACAGGAUUAGAUACCCUGGUAGUCCACGCUGUAAACGAUGUGUGCUAGACGUUGGGGAGCCUAGCUCUUCGGUGUCGCAGCUAACGCGGUAAGCACACCNCNUGAGGAGUACGGCCGCAAGGUUA
This 524-nucleotide ribosomal RNA is filed under the name uncultured bacterium. RNAcentral describes it as "bacterial SSU rRNA". It matches the Rfam family "Bacterial small subunit ribosomal RNA", at positions 355 to 896 of the family's 1533-position model. The record is from RNAcentral.